Orcinus orca (killer whale) is the source of this 6698-nucleotide long non-coding RNA. RefSeq lists it as uncharacterized. The record is from RefSeq and is a predicted model, not a curated record. NCBI's taxonomy places the organism in Eukaryota, Metazoa, Chordata, Mammalia, Artiodactyla, Delphinidae. The transcript is spliced from 5 exons.
UCAAGAUCUUACUGAUACUGAGCAGGGAAGAAAAACCAGGUCUGUUGAAAUCCAAAGCCCGGUCUCUGUGUCUUGUAAGAAAAAAGAACUUAAGUUUAAAAAAAUGUCUUUUCUCUUCCUCACAUAUUGAACUCUACUUCAUUCAUUUUUUUCCCCCUGAGGAAUUGUCAGCAAGUGCCUCUUGUCAAACACCAGGAUCAUGAAGCAGUUCAAAAGCACAUGGAUGUCCCAUUAAACAGCUUUACUAUAGAAUAGCUAAUAAUUACAAUAAUUAUUGACAGUUUGAUAUAUGCUUUGUGCAACGUGCUUUCCAUGCAUCAUUUUGUUCUUGCAACAACUUUGUGAGGUAGGUUGUUUCAGGUGAGGAAGAUGCAUUUCUGCAAGGUUAAACCACAUGCCCAAAGUCACAUAGCUCACAGAGGCAGAGCCAGGAUACAAACCCACUUUUACCAGUGUGUUUAACCACUGUGCUAUACUUUGCAUAGCCCUAUAAUCCUGCUCGACCUAAGCUAUCUGAAAAUCUUGAGAAGAAAAUAAACAGUUUUCCCAGCUUCUUUUCUGCUUUUACAAGGCAACCACACUGCCAAUAGACGUUUCUGCAAGAAUACAUUUACUUUUGCCAGGACAAAAAAGGAAUUAACUUAAUGUGGUGCCCAUCUGUUUGCCAACAAAUUAUAGCAUCUUAGUUUGGAAGAGAUUGUAGCAGCCAUCUUGUUCAGGUUUUCUUUCCCAGACUGGCCUCCCCAAGCAGAGGUUAUUCAACCUUUGUAGAGAAACCUCCACUGAUCUUGUAAUGGCUCACCUCGGCAUUGCUCCAAUUGUUAGAGAACUCUUCCUUUUUAUUGAUUUUCUUUGUUGUUUUUUUUUUUGUAACAUCAUUUUAGCAAUUCUAGGUCUGUCUUCUGUAGAAGUAGAAGCUUUGACAUCACAGAGAUCUGGGUUGAUAUCCUCCUGACUGGAAUAUUGUUUAUCCUUGCCCAGUUCGAGUUUGCCUCUUACUAAGAUGAACAAGAGCAUCUCUAAUACUAUAGGGUCAAAGUAAGAAUUAAAGGAAAGGCUCACAACUCUAGUACAAAUUCCCAAGGGAAUCCAAGUGAUUUGGUUAGACGCUAUUACUUUAGGGGUAAAACUUUUGAAGCAAGUGACCUCAUAGGCCACUCACUGGAUUGGAGAUAGUUUGCCUGUCUUUGUAUCAGGUGCCCUGUUGUGCUCAAGGACCAAGUGUCACAUGAUAGAAUGUCCCAUUUUAAGAGUAUGCCAUGGGUGUACCUCAUCAGAGACUGCACGUCUUUCAGUUACCUUCUGUAGAGGGCCUCAGACAUGGUGGUAACAGAGCGUAGAGUCCCGUCUGGUACCCACACUUAGUUUGGUAUAUAAGUGCUCAAUAAAUGUUAGUUCAUUUGACUCUUUCUUAUUCCACUAGCCAGGCUUUCAAGUUCUUAGAGACGGCGCUCACUCAAUUCAAUUCAUCAAAUACUCACUGAAUGUACUGUGUUUGUAUUAGUUUCCUAACUCUGCUGCAAUUCCCCCGAUUCAGGGAUGCAUCUUCCAAUUCUUUAGUCUUAUUCUGUAGCCCUUAGAUAAUGACAGAUUCCAAACGGGACAAGCCUUCAACAUUUGACAAUCACCCCAGUUGAUUCCAAUAUACCAUUACACUGAAAUCUUCAUUCUUCAAUGAAGGAAGCAGAAUUAUGUCACCAAGUUAUUUUUGGGCCUCCACAAUUUCUAAUAGCCUUCGUUGGAUGGUGAAUGGCUGAAACUUUUAAAUCUAGUAGAGGCUGCACUGGGAUACUCUGGAGGCUUUUGACUGGCUUUCUACUCUUCUACAUUUUCUGUUGCCAUAGUUGAGACUGUGUCCUAAGCUACCUCAGCUUCUAGUCAAAUUGUCAAAGUUUAGUGCACAUAAGAAUCUCUUGGGGACAUUUUGCAGAUCCCUAGACUUCAUCCCCCAAGGAUUCUGAUUUAUAUGGACCCUCAGAGUUGACUUUUUAAAAUAAUAAUCCCCAGGUUAUAUCAUCGUUUUUGAGAAGCAUAGAGCUAGGGUAAAUGUAAGAACCCUUAGAUUGUCAGCUCAGUGAUUUUCCAUGAAAGUAACCUUGCUAUGGGUUCAGCAGCGAUCAUCUUCCUGGAUUCAGAUUCUGGGCUCUUAUUUCUUCCUUGUGAGAAAAUACUUGCUUUUCGCCCCAAUGUUGACCCUUGUCUUGUAACUACUUCCCCCCCAACACACACCUCUCAGAAACUGGGAACUUGGCACUGAAUCCCAGUCCAUUAUGACUAGGUUCAUGUUCUCUGUACUCAAGAUAUGGAGUUCUGGACCCAGAAUAAAGUAAGGGGCAGGUAAUUGAUUAGAUGAAGAUGCAAAGGCAGAAUGUCUGAUUUGGUGUGGCAUCUCCGGUGUGAUAAAAUUGAACCAGAAACAAAGUAAUUGAACCACUGGCACCAUCCCUGCAAGUUGUUUUCCUUGAAUUUUUCUUCAUUACUCAAAUUGCUCUUUGGGUUGUUAGCUCAUUUGACCCUUAUUUUUGGUUUUAUGGCUCUGGAUUUUGAAUGUGUAAACUCCCUGACUCUCUGGCCUGACCAUGUACCACAUCUAGACUAUGUCCUAGUUUAAUGUUCUGUCAUGUAUUCCUAUUGAAAACUGAUAUAAUGAUAAUAAUUAUGGUGGUCCUGCUACUAAUACUACUAAAUAUCUGUAGGGUACAUAUUAUCAAUAUAUGUUUUACAUUCACAGCAAAUAUCUGAAGUAAGUCCUAUUUUUAUUCCAAGCUUUAAAUAAAGAAACUGAGGUUAGAGCUAUACAGCUGUUAAGAGGCUGAGCCAGAAAGGAUAUGCAGGCAGUCUCACUCCCGGAGCUGUGCUCUCGUCAAGCACAUUACAUUGUUCAUUUCCAUCGCUACUAUACCUGCCAUUGCUCACUGAGUGACAAAGAAGUCUCCAAAAAUCUUCCUUUUUCUUUAAUGUAUAUGGUAAAUGGAGAUAGGGGAUGAAAGUUCCCAAUAAUUCCUUUUUGGAACUCCUUGAGCACCACUGAAUUUCAACAAAAUUUUUCCCCCAAAGAGCAUUUUUGAAACCAUGACAUUCCCUGUUAUCUCUCCUAACUAGUGAGAUCAUCCCAAUGAUUCUGGGGGGGCUUCAUUGCAUUUUAUCAGUGGCGCCUUUGUUGUACAAUUUCCACUUUUGCUCUUGAAGAUACAAUAAAAGAUUUAUGCCUGAUGGACUAUGAUGUGGUUUGCAUCUAAGAGAAAAACAAUUCCUUCCAAAAAAAUACCAUAUCCCCAAAUGAUUUCAUAAUUGCAAACAGUGUUGACGAGCUCUUUGGCUUAAAUCAGUUUAUAACAUAUUUGCUGUGUUUUUGUGUAGAUAUGUUUUGAUGUGCUUGCUAAGGAAAAAUAAUUAAAACCCCUCUGCCAUUUCUAAUUGAGAAGAAAGAAAUGUAACCCAUUAGUUGAUGUCUACCAUAAUAAGAUUUUUUUCUCCCUCAUUUCAUUCCAGAUUUGUUUCAAGGAUUAACUUGCAUUAAAUGGUUUCAGGUCUGAACGUCAACCAUGUUUCUCAUUAUUGGAGAUCAAAAUGGCUUAAUUCCCUUUGUGUGUUGGUGCCACUAAAACACAAGGGAAUCUUAAAACUACAAACCUCUGAUAGAAGCACCACAUUUUCCUCGUCAAUCUGCCCAGCAGAGCUUGUGUUUUUCCUCCAUUUACUGCUGGAAAAAUGCUGUGUGCUGACAAGUUUUGGGGUUCUGGUGUCAUGCACAGGCUAGGCAAGACUUCCUUUGAAUCUAGUUACUGUUGUAUUUUCAAAUAUGUUGAUGUGAACUUUGCUUUCUAAUGCUCCUUGAGUCAACUAUUGUCUUUGAUCUUUAAACAGAAUGUGGCCAUCCAUCUAGUGGACUGGUAAAGGACUAGCAUCGAGGUUAAUCCAGGGGCCUCUGGAUUUAAACAGACCUGACUUUAAAUUCUCAUUCCACCACUAGCUAUAUAACCUGGGUCAGUUUUGAAAACUUGCCUUGUCUGUAAAAUGGAGCUAAUGAUAGUACCUAUUUAUUGGCUGUAGAGUGGCAUACAAGAGCGCAUGCAUGUUAAAACAUUGCUGAGCAAAGGAGAACGUGUUAAGUGACCAGUUAGUUCUACUGUUAUGUUACCCUAUUGUAGAGACUAUUACCCAGAGUGUUGUAUUACCCAGGAUGAGUUGGAGUCUCAUUCCCUGUCUGGUAUCUGGGUUGGCCUCAGUGACUUGAUUAGCCAACAGAAUGUGGCAAAAGGGACAUUCUGGGACUUCUAAGGCUGAGUAAUAAGAAGCCUGGCAGCUUUUGUCUGGGUGUCUUGGAAUGCUUGCUCUGGGGAAAAUCAGCUGCAUGCUGUGAGAAGCUCAAGCCACAUAGAAAGGCCAUCGAUAGGAGCUCAGGUUGACAGCCCCAGCUGAGCUCCUGGUUGUCAGGCCAGCCAUGUGAGUGAGUCAUCUUGGAUGUGCAGCCUUGAAAAGGCAAGAGUUGACUUCAAGGCUUUUGGAGAUUCUCUUUCAGUUGUAGCAUUUCCUUGUGACCUUGCUAAACUUGGUUAUCUGGUUGAUUCAAGCUAAACAAUUAGACACAAAGAGAGAAUUUUGGGGGGCACAGGAGCAUAAGGGCAAUAAAGAGUACCCCUUUCCUCUGCUCAAGAUCUGAACCGACAGAGAGAGAAGACCAAGGAGUAAGGGAGAUGGAGACCGAAAUAUCGCUUUUAUGAGCGUGAAGACCGGGCAUGUGUCUAUGGUUUCCUCAUGGAGAACCCCAGAAGGAAUUAGGUUUAUCUUUUCAACUGGCCCGGGGCACUGGCCUCACUCUAGAGGAGCAAAGAACCUGACAGCCUGCUCUCAAGAGGAGAUGUCUGGGGUCUUCAUGCUCAUCUCAGACUCACCAGUCAAGGGGAAGGGGCUGAGGUGUGGAGUGGAGCCCUCCACCUGGAAGGAAACAUCGGGAAUGGGAAUGGGUGCUCCUCUGACAGGACUGUCUACCUCAGUAUCUACUGAGUUCAAGAAAUAAGUGAUCCAGGUUUUACUUUGUGAAGACACAGUUUAUGGUGACAGAUUCAGAAUGAGGCGUUUCACUUUACUUGUAGGUUAAAUUGGUUUGUAUCAAUGAUCCCAUUCUUUUCUUCUAAGUCCAGAGAGUCCUGGCAACAUCAAGUCCCAUGUAUUUACAAAGAUGGAAUUAAGUAAAGAACCUUCCUUCAAUCAUUCUCUCUUCCAUCUUUCCCUAACUACUUUCAAUUUAUGACCCUAACAAUGAAUCGUAAAUAAACUGCUUCAAAGUCUUCAGCCUAAAGGAACUGAUGGGAUGGUAUUAGCAAUCACACCGUUGAUCGUGAAGUUAAGGAUGAAGGUUCAAUUUUAGCGUGCCUUAGCUUUAAAUGGAGGUAAGUUGUUCUAUUAUUACAAGCCUUGGCGCCCUUGCCCUUGCCCGGCUAUUUAACAAAUGUGUGUCCUUGUUUACCAGUGGAACCCAACUAGGGGGUAUAAAUAGCUGAGUGUGAGCCUCAAUGACUACACUUCAAACAACUCCAAGCACGUGUCCUAUCGACGGGGUGUGGAGAACGCAGGCAGCGCAAUCAGGAUGCAGAUGUUCUGAGUGAACACUUUUGGUUGUUGACAUCAAACUCUGAGUUAUAAGAACACCUGUCAAAGGCCUGUUGGAAAUUUCCUUGAAACCAGGUGGAUCGGACUGGCCCUUUAGUCCAGUUGUAGAUGCCCACUGUGGGCAGACUGAGGAAGCGACCCUCUUACCAGGGUGUGCUUGAACAAGGCCCAGGACACUAAAAAAAAAAAAAAAAUCUUGCAAUUACACUUUUCUACCACUAGAUGAUAUGCACGUAUAAGCAAGAUGAAAACCCUCCUACCUUUCCUUUCUGCAUCAGUGGCCACAGUGAUGAUAGGUAAGUUAAGGUAUCCAGAAUUCAAUUCCAGAUGUUACUAAGAAAGAGAAACACAAUAUGAACAUGAAGAACUGCCAGCAUUGAUUAGGUAAUAAGUGUGAUCAUACCAAAUUUAUCAAACACUUAUCCUUUCAUCUAGGGGCCAUCAAAGUUUACCACCUGCCUAUGGGCCAAAUCCAGUUUACCACCUCUCUUUGUAAAUAAAGUUUUAUUGGAACACAGCCAUGCUCAUUUGUCUGGGACUGAUUUUGCUCCACAAUGACAGAGAUAAAGAAAGUGAUUAAGGACACAAUGAAUCUUGGCACAUACGUUACAUGACUGUAGCAGACAUACAUGACAAAGGCUAGUUUAGGUAACUAACUGCCUCAGAGUCAUACAUCAUGAGGCGGAGAGGGGAGAAUCAGGAACUGGGUGAACCAACUUAAUCCUUUGUCCCACAUGAAGAGAAGGGACCGUAUUGCCUAGAUUCCAAGGGUUUUCCACAUGGACAUGCCCCAAGCUCCUUCUCUCCCCUUCCUUUGCUCCAAGAAGACCUCUUCUAUUGUUUGUCCACAUUUUGAUGUCCUCUUUUCUUAGGAUAGAUACCCCAUCAUCCCUACAGAAAAGGAAGGUGCACUGGACUGUUCCUUCCACUCAAUCUUUGUUGACUCUAAGAAAGGAGCAGACCAUCGACUGGUGUUAGCCCAUCAGUCAUCACCGUUCUCAGCUCAGCCGCCAGGAGAUGAAUGAGUUAGAUUCAACUGUCAUUGAAGCCCUUCGAUAGACAUCACCUCACUCAGAGGUCACAGC